CAUAGCGACUAUCGUGGCAUAUCAAUAAGCGGAGGAAAAGAAACUAACUAGGAUUCCCUCAGUAACGGCGAGUGAAGCGGGAAGAGCUCAAAUUUGAAAUCUUCAAGGUUCUACCUUGACGAAUUGUAGUUUAUAGAAGUGUUUUCUGUUAGUGGAGUGGCAAAAGUUCUUUGGAAUAGGACAUCAUAGAGGGUGAGAAUCCCGUAUUUGGUCAUUCCUCCUAGCGUUGUGAUACACUUUCAACGAGUCGGAUUGUUUGGGAAUGCAGUCCAAAAUGGGUGGUAAAUUUCAUCUAAAGCUAAAUAUUGGCGAGAGACCGAUAGCGAACAAGUACCGUGAGGGAAAGAUGAAAAGAACUUUGAAAAGAGAGUUAAACAGUACGUGAAAUUGUCAAAAGGGAAGCGUUUGACACCAGUGUUGUUUUUCCGAAAAUCAAUUACGAAUGUUUUGUUUUUGAGGAGUUAUGACUUCAUCGGCUUGCUUCUUUCUUUAUGAAACUUUCUUAAUGCACUUUUCGGUUAACAAGUCAACAUCAAUUUCUUUUGUUGUAAAAGGGUAUGAGGAAGGUGGCUUUCUUUUCGGAGAAAGUGUUUAUAGCCUUGUGCCUCUGCAAUCGGAGAGAUUGAGGUCUGCAGCGUAGAUCCUUCGGGGUUAGAUACGUUUGUGCUAAGUUAUAGCUUUUCAUAGACAACUUGUUGACUAUGUUUAGUCUUGUAGCUUACUCGCUGACGCUAUUUUACCUACGCUUAGGAUGUUGACGGAGACUGUCGAUCUC
RNAcentral lists this ribosomal RNA (775 nucleotides) under uncultured Neocallimastigales. RNAcentral's name for it is "partial large subunit ribosomal RNA". It matches the Rfam family "Eukaryotic large subunit ribosomal RNA", at positions 22 to 647 of the family's 3401-position model. Lineage: Eukaryota; Fungi; Neocallimastigomycota; Neocallimastigomycetes; Neocallimastigales. The record is from RNAcentral.